This 525-nucleotide ribosomal RNA is filed under the name Micrura sp. 460 MLS-2006. Its description in RNAcentral is "partial 16S ribosomal RNA". It matches the Rfam family "Bacterial large subunit ribosomal RNA", at positions 1828 to 2619 of the family's 2925-position model. Lineage: Eukaryota; Metazoa; Nemertea; Pilidiophora; Heteronemertea; Lineidae. The record is from RNAcentral.
AGCCUGUUGGUUUUUAUAACAGGUAUUUUCUGCCCGGUGGGUUAUUAAACGGCCGCGGUACUCUGACCGUGCAAAGGUAGCAUAAUCGCUUGUUCUUUAAUUGGGGACUGGUAUGAAAGGAACUUUGAGGGGUCCGCUGUCUCCUCCGUCUGUUGGAAUUUGCUGUCUUUGUGAAGAAGCGAAGAUUUAUAAAAAAGACAAGAAGACCCUAUUAAGCUUUUAUUUUUUGAGCCAGCCUAAGUUCUUUAAAGUAUCUUCCCUAGGUGAUAUAAAAUUUGGUUGGGGUGACUAAAGAAGAAAGGAUCUUCUUUUUGUGCGAAACCUUUUGUUUAAGGUUGACCCGGGAUGUUCCGGGUGAAAGAAUUAGUUACUAUAGGGAUAACAGCGUAAUCUUCCCGGAGAGUUCUUAUUGAGGGGAAGGGUUGCGACCUCGAUGUUGACUUAUCGUUUCCUUUAAAGGUGUAGCAGCUGUAAGGGUUGGUCUGUUCGACCAUWAAAAUGAUACGUGAUCUGAGUUCAGACCGG